GACGAACGCUGGCGGCGUGCCUAAUACAUGCAAGUUGAGCGCUGAAGGUUGGUACUUGUACCUACUGGAUGAGCAGCGAACGGGUGAGUAACGCGUGGGUAAUCUGCCUUUGAGCGGGGGACAACAUUUGGAAACGAAUGCUAAUACCGCAUAAAAACUUUAAACACAAGUUUUAAGUUUGAAAGAUGCAAUUGCAUCACCCAAAGAUGAUCCCGCGUUGUAUUAGCUAGUUGGUGAGGUAAAGGCUCUCCCAGGCGAUGAUACAUAGCCGACCUGAGAGGGGGAACGGCCCCAUUGGGACUGGGACACGGCCCAAACCCCUACGGGAGGCAGCAGUAGGGAAUCUUCGGCAAUGGACGAAAGUCUGACCGAGCAAAGCCGGGUGAGUGGAGAAGGUUUUCGGAUCGUAAAACUCUGUUUGUAGGGAAGAACGAUGGUGGGAGUGGAAAGCUCAUCAAGUGACGGUAACUACCCAGAAAGGCACGGCUAACUACGUG
RNAcentral lists this ribosomal RNA (497 nucleotides) under uncultured bacterium. RNAcentral's name for it is "partial 16S ribosomal RNA". It matches the Rfam family "Bacterial small subunit ribosomal RNA", at positions 28 to 507 of the family's 1533-position model. The record is from RNAcentral.